UUUCUCUGUAUAGCCCUGGCUGUCCUGGAACUCACUCUGUAGACCAGGCUGGCCUUGAACUCAGAAAUCCACCUGCCUCUGUCUCCUGAGUCCUGAGAUUAAAGGUGUGUGUUACCACCGCCUGGUGAGGGCAGAUCUUUAUGUACCUUGCAAAAGUAUGUGUUUUUAAAUUGGCAGUUUGAAAAAUAAAAUCAGGACCCCUAUCCAGCCCCACUCAGAUGAUACCCAGAAGCCCCCCAGUGUCACAAAGAUGAGCAAGUGCUCUGGAAGAUGGCCAGACAGGGUUGGUCUUACCCAAAUGUCUCAGGCUAGUGGCUCCUGGUCACUUGGUGUCAUUUCAAGUCUCAACUGUGCUCAGAGGUUGUGUCAAUCUGACAACCACCAUCAACCAUCACACCACCCAACCGUGAAACACUUCCUCCACACUCUUCGACCGCACAAGCAUCGGUCCCAACAAAGCAACGCCUGGUUCUGGAGUCAACGGUUCAUAAAGUCACUGGGUGCUGACCUGGGGAAGACGGAGCCCACAGUAGACUGACAGGGUGAUGUCCCCACAAGCCUCUGGUCAUGAAGCAAGAUGGAAAAGGUGGUGAGGGAGGGGGUGUGGGUGAAAAAUCAAGGUAUUAAGAUAAGAUGCGAUUAUAUUAGACUCUCAGUAACUUAAACAAUUGCUGUUCUUCGUGCGUGAUGAGAAAAUGGUCAGGGAAGAGAGCUGGGGAAGAGACUACAGGCAGAGAGGGAGCCCUGAGGACCAGGCAGGGGAAACCCUAGCAUACGUGUG
This 781-nucleotide long non-coding RNA is filed under the name Mus spicilegus (steppe mouse). Its description in RNAcentral is "lncRNA (ENSMSIG00000024821.1)". Lineage: Eukaryota; Metazoa; Chordata; Mammalia; Rodentia; Muridae. The record is from RNAcentral.